UAAAUCCUAGUUAUAUUGGAUAUCUCUUAUUGAUAUUUAUAUUGCAUAUGAUAAAGCAGUCACUAAUGAACAUAAUUAGAAGUUCUAAAUAUAUUAAUCAAAUAAAGUGGAUUUAUAGGUACUUCAUGAACUUUGGAAAUAUAAAAUCUAGUGAGCAAUACUAAGGAAUGAAAAAGAGAAGCUAUGGAGUAUGAAAUAAUGGUUGGUUAAGUAACAUUACCUCAAGAACAGGAAACAGUAACUGAAACUAUGUUCUUCUACAUUUAAUCUUAAUAAGUUCAGCAGUUUGAAUGUUAAUGAGACAUUAUUAUAAACAAACUGCAUUUGUAGAUUUUGGGAAGAAUUAUAUCUUUACAAUAACUAUUAU
Long non-coding RNA from Pieris napi, 367 nucleotides. RefSeq lists it as uncharacterized. The transcript is spliced from 3 exons. Lineage: Eukaryota; Metazoa; Arthropoda; Insecta; Lepidoptera; Pieridae. The record is from RefSeq and is a predicted model, not a curated record.